This 578-nucleotide ribosomal RNA is filed under the name Staphylococcus aureus. RNAcentral describes it as "partial 23S ribosomal RNA". It matches the Rfam family "Bacterial large subunit ribosomal RNA", at positions 328 to 909 of the family's 2925-position model. The record is from RNAcentral. Lineage: Bacteria; Bacillati; Bacillota; Bacilli; Caryophanales; Staphylococcaceae.
AUUAGACGAAUCAUCUGGAAAGAUGAAUCAAAGAAGGUAAUAAUCCUGUAGUCGAAAAUGUUGUCUCUCUUGAGUGGAUCCUGAGUACGACGGAGCACGUGAAAUUCCGUCGGAAUCUGGGAGGACCAUCUCCUAAGGCUAAAUACUCUCUAGUGACCGAUAGUGAACCAGUACCGUGAGGGAAAGGUGAAAAGCACCCCGGAAGGGGAGUGAAAUAGAACCUGAAACCGUGUGCUUACAAGUAGUCAGAGCCCGUUAAUGGGUGAUGGCGUGCCUUUUGUAGAAUGAACCGGCGAGUUACGAUUUGAUGCAAGGUUAAGCAGUAAAUGUGGAGCCGUAGCGAAAGCGAGUCUGAAUAGGGCGUUUAGUAUUUGGUCGUAGACCCGAAACCAGGUGAUCUACCCUUGGUCAGGUUGAAGUUCAGGUAACACUGAAUGGAGGACCGAACCGACUUACGUUGAAAAGUGAGCGGAUGAACUGAGGGUAGCGGAGAAAUUCCAAUCGAACCUGGAGAUAGCUGGUUCUCUCCGAAAUAGCUUUAGGGCUAGCCUCAAGUGAUGAUUAUUGGAGGUAGAGCA